Molecule: long non-coding RNA, 629 nt
Organism: Tetranychus urticae (two-spotted spider mite)
Lineage: Eukaryota; Metazoa; Arthropoda; Arachnida; Trombidiformes; Tetranychidae
Source: RefSeq, a predicted model, not a curated record
UUUCUUUUAAUUUCUCAUUUUCUCUGUUUUGAUUCCUGAUGGUUACUGUGAUUCUUAGUCUUUUUUUGUGUUUCUUUAAUUGUUUAAUUUAGAUUUUUUCAAACCUGACUCAAGAUCAACUCUACCAUGUAUACACGCACUGGUUAUUAUUCAUAUCAAGAUCGAGCAAAUCACUUCUGCAUUCAACGAAUCAAUCGUAAACGAUACAAACUGAGAAGAAAUAGGAAAUACAACGAAAAUCCUGAUUUAAUUGGACCAGUUAAUCCAGAAAAUGUUACAAUUGUUAAAGACAAGAGGGACAAUAAGUAUGCUAUGGAUCCAAUCAUUUGGCUCCUUAAAUUUAUUCAAAAAUCUAGUCGAGCAGGCAAAAGAUGAUAAUCAAAUUUUAAGGUGGUCAUUUAUUCGCACAAAAAGAUUGAUACUUUCUUAAUAAAAAUCAUAAUGAUAUGAUAAACUGUGAUAUUUAUUUUUGAUACUUGUUUCUAUUCUUUGUUCAUACAAUGAUCUGUUAAUAAUCUACCUUAAAUUACAAUAACUUCUCAACUUCAAAACAAAUGUAAAAUAACACAUUAAUAUCAUGUACUUGUUAAAUUCGUAAAUAUUAAAUAAAAUUAUGAAAUCAAAAUAAA